RNAcentral lists this unclassified non-coding RNA (1594 nucleotides) under uncultured fungus. RNAcentral's name for it is "sequence contains 18S rRNA gene, ITS1, 5.8S rRNA gene, ITS2, 28S rRNA gene". The stretch from base 621 to 1594 matches the Rfam family "Eukaryotic large subunit ribosomal RNA", at positions 1 to 961 of the family's 3401-position model. Lineage: Eukaryota; Fungi. The record is from RNAcentral.
GGAAGGAUCAUUAUUGAAUGAACUUGGCUUGGUUGCUGCUGGUCUUUUCGAAGACAUGUGCACGCCAUGUCAUCUUUAUAUCUCCACCUGUGCACCUUUUGUAGACCUGGAUUCAAUUUUCCGAGGUAACUCGGUCGUGAGGAACUGCUUAACGGCUUUCCUUGUUAGUUUCCAGGCCUAUGUUUUCAUAUACACCAUACGAAUGUAACAGAAUGUCAUUAUUAGGCUUAAUUGUCUUAUAAACUAUAUACAACUUUCAGCAACGGAUCUCUUGGCUCUCGCAUCGAUGAAGAACGCAGCGAAAUGCGAUAAGUAAUGUGAAUUGCAGAAUUCAGUGAAUCAUCGAAUCUUUGAACGCACCUUGCGCUCCUUGGUAUUCCGAGGAGCAUGCCUGUUUGAGUGUCAUUAAAUUCUCAACCUUUGUUAACUUUUUGGUUAGCAAAUGGCUUGGAUGUGGGGGUAUGCAGGUUUCUCUAUUGAAAUUAGCUCCCCUGAAAUACAUUAGCUGGUUGCCUUGUGUAAACCUGUCUAUUGGUGUGAUAAUUAUCUACGCCGUGGACUAUUUGCCGUUUUUAGCACUGCUUAUAAUCGUCUGUUCAUUCGGACAAUAUAUGACAAUUUGACCUCAAAUCAGGUAGGACUACCCGCUGAACUUAAGCAUAUCAAUAAGCGGAGGAAAAGAAACUAACAAGGAUUCCCCUAGUAACUGCGAGUGAAGCGGGAAAAGCUCAAAUUUAAAAUCUGGCGGUCUUUGGCCGUCCGAGUUGUAAUCUAGAGAAGUGUUAUCCGCGCUGGACCGUGUACAAGUCUCCUGGAAUGGAGCGUCAUAGAGGGUGAGAAUCCCGUCUUUGACACGGACUGCCAGGGCUUUGUGAUGCGCUCUCAAAGAGUCGAGUUGUUUGGGAAUGCAGCUCAAAAUGGGUGGUAAAUUCCAUCUAAAGCUAAAUAUUGGCGAGAGACCGAUAGCGAACAAGUACCGUGAGGGAAAGAUGAAAAGAACUUUGGAAAGAGAGUUAAACAGUACGUGAAAUUGCUGAAAGGGAAACGCUUGAAGUCAGUCGCAUUGUGUGGGAAUCAACCUUGCUUUUGCUGGGCGUACUUUCCAUAUGAUGGGUCAGCAUCAAUUUUGACCGUUGGAUAAAGUUCAAGGGAAUGUGGCAUCUUCGGAUGUGUUAUAGCCUUUGGUCGCAUACAACGAUUGGGAUUGAGGAACUCAGCACGCCGAAAGGCCGGGUCUUGUACCACGUUCGUGCUUAGGAUGCUGGCAUAAUGGCUUUAAUCGACCCGUCUUGAAACACGGACCAAGGAGUCUAACAUGCCUGCGAGUAUUUGGGUGGAAAACCCGAGUGCGUAAUGAAAGUGAAAGUUGAGAUCCUUGUCAUGGGGAGCAUCGACGCCCGGACCAGACCUUUUGUGACGGAUCUGCGGUAGAGCAUGUAUGUUGGGACCCGAAAGAUGGUGAACUAUGCCUGAAUAGGGUGAAGCCAGAGGAAACUCUGGUGGAGGCUCGUAGCGAUUCUGACGUGCAAAUCGAUCGUCAAAUUUGGGUAUAGGGGCGAAAGACUAAUCGAACCAUCUAGUAGCUGGUUCCUGC